RNAcentral lists this ribosomal RNA (478 nucleotides) under uncultured bacterium. RNAcentral describes it as "partial 16S ribosomal RNA". It matches the Rfam family "Bacterial small subunit ribosomal RNA", at positions 355 to 826 of the family's 1533-position model. The record is from RNAcentral.
UAGGGAAUCUUCCACAAUGGACGCAAGUCUGAUGGAGCAACGCCGCGUGAGUGAAGAAGGUUUUCGGACCGUAAAGCUCUGUUGUUGGUGAAGAAGGAUAGAGGUAGUAACUGGCCUUUAUUUGACGGUAAUCAACCAGAAAGUCACGGCUAACUACGUGCCAGCAGCCGCGGUAAUACGUAGGUGGCAAGCGUUGUCCGGAUUUAUUGGGCGUAAAGCGAGCGCAGGCGGAAGAAUAAGUCUGAUGUGAAAGCCCUCGGCUUAACCGAGGAAUUGCAUCGGAAACUGUUUUCUUGAGUGCAGAAGAGGAGAGUAGAACUCCAUGUGUAGCGGUGGAAUGCGUAGAUAUAUGGAAGAAUACCAGUGGCGAAGGCGGCUCUCUGGUCUGCAACUGACGCUGAGGCUCGAAAGCAUGGGUAGCGAGCAGGAUUAGAUACCCUGGUAGUCCAUGCCGUAAACGAUGAGUGCUAAGUGUUGG